RNAcentral lists this long non-coding RNA (1111 nucleotides) under Pogona vitticeps (central bearded dragon). Its description in RNAcentral is "lncRNA (ENSPVIG00000007406.1)". The record is from RNAcentral. Lineage: Eukaryota; Metazoa; Chordata; Lepidosauria; Squamata; Agamidae.
UAAAACAAAUAUUGAAAACAACACUGGUGGUGGCAGCAGUGAGUGGCUGUGAGAGGCAGCCAGUGUGAGGGCAGGAGAGCCCGAAAUGCAAUGAGGUUUGUAGUACCUGCUUCCCAUCACACUGCUUGCCACUGAUAGCCACUCACCUCUGCAGCUAACAGUUAUUUGUUAAUAGUAAUUUUAUUUCUUUCAAAGCAGGAUAGUGCUAUUUCAGCAUUACAGACAGGAAAAUAUAUAUAAAAGAUCAUACUGCAAAGCUUCACUGCAGCCUAAAACCUGUGAUCCUGACAUCCAUUACUUGACAAACCCCAUAGACACAUUUUACUCUGACAGAGGCAAGCACACAUGCUAAAACAAUAAAAAUAAAUCACAUCCACAAUUUACAUAAAAUAAAUAGCCCCCUCAAAGCUGUUGCUUUCCACACAAAAAACAAGCUUCCUAGCCAAAAAAAAGAGCACGCUCAGCUGCACAUUACGUGUACAGCUAUUUUUAAAAGCAUACCAAACUCAACACAAAUCCAGGAGUUUUUCAAUGUGUAACCACACCCUAUGUCAGAAAUAACACUCACUGAACUCAGACAAAUUUGCUUUGGAUUAAACAUGUAAUGCAUUUAAUAUAAAUAUUUCCAAGGAGCAAUAUGUUAAAAACCAAGAACUGAGUGGACCGAAGAAUUAACAAAUUGUCAAAGGCUAAGCAUGCUGAAAAUUAAAGUGGAAGCUGCACAAAUAUAUCUAUCUAUAUGUGUAGCAUAUCAUAUUUAGGGAUAAAAACUCAUCACAUAUCACAAGACAUUUUAAUUGUACAUCCAUAUGGAAUAUAGCACCUCUACUGAACACCUUGGAUCUCCCGUCCAAUCCCACUGACUUGCUCCUUAAAUUGCAUCUGCUUAAAUUCUACCUUCUACAAAAAAAAAUUAGAGACAUGAUAACUUCCCUGUCUCCUGCUGUGAGAAGCCAGGAGUUCUGGAAACAUUUCAACCCAUUUAAACAAACAUCAGACUAGAUGAAGGCACUUCUUAUGACUGAAGUCACCUCCCUGCACUCUUUCUCCACAGGGAGGAGCAAAGAGGAUCGCACCUGCAGGAUCAGCCUCAAUACCUGAAAAAGGGCCA